ACAUAGGUGUGCACAUUUGAGGACAUAGCACAUGCAGGAAGAGUCUGCCAGCCUGAGUACUUUUAAUGUUCCUACUCUUGACCUUCUUCCUUAUUUUAAUAUUUAUUUUUUAGUUGUAGGUGGACACAAUACCUUUAUUUAUUUAUUUUUAUGUGGUGCUAAGGAUAGAACCCAGGGCCUUGCAUGUGCUAGGCGAGUGCUCUGCCGCUGAGUCACAACCCUAGCCCAAUCUUCUUCCUUAAAAAAAAAAAGUGGUAAAAAAAUGCACAACAUACAACUAACCAUUUUAGAGUGCACGUUCAGUUGUAUUACAUUCAUAGGUUGCACAAGAAUGGAUCUACAAAUCCAUUUUCCUCUUUCUGAUGUCUUCCAAGACUUAGACCUCUGCCUUUAUCUGCACCUAGUUCUUUCCUCAGACCUAGAAAAAGUAGACAGCCUGUCCCAAACAACUUGAUUCCUCCUUUCUCUUGUACAGAAAUUCUGACAAUCCCUAAGAUAGUUUCUUCUGAACCAAACUUUCCUCUUCUCCCAGUAGGUUCACCUUAACUCUAAGGUUUAUGAUUACCAAACUUCCAGAGCCAGCUAAAUGAGGUGUAACCCAGGUCUGUUCCCCAAAAGUAGGGCAGGCCUUCAACGUUCCCCCUGAUGUCAAUCAGUGGCUAACUGCUGAGGCCACCCUGGAAAUUCUCAGUUCUCUGGUAGCAGGGUCAGCAUCCUUCCAAGACUUGCUGCAGUUGGAUGUAGAAUGCUCUCCAGCUGUAAUUGAGUCUGUAGACAUCCUCAUUUGCCAACAACUGAAAGACCACAACAGUACCAAUGCCCAUAGGAGGGAGGCCCUCUGUGUUCUCAAGUGUGUGUGCACUCCAGUAUGGAUGGAACACCCCUGGGAGCCCAGGAAUACCAGCACUUAAUGGAGAUGAAGGACCACUGGGAGCCCAGGGUAACUACAACUACAUCAAGAUACAGGAUCACUGUGAUCCAAGAUUACUGGAAUUCCGACAGAGAGAAUGAACUAUUAUUAGCCCAAAGACAUAAGCACUCCAAUAGAGAUGUAUGACCACUAGGAACCUUUGAAGUGAUAAAGAUGAAAGAACAUAUGCUGCAAAGAUACUGGCACCCCAAUAGAAAGGGGGAAACACUGAGCCAAAAGGUAUAAACAUUGUGCUAGAGAUGGAAGAUCACAGGGCUG
Marmota monax (woodchuck) is the source of this 1189-nucleotide long non-coding RNA. RefSeq lists it as uncharacterized. The record is from RefSeq and is a predicted model, not a curated record. Lineage: Eukaryota; Metazoa; Chordata; Mammalia; Rodentia; Sciuridae. The transcript has 3 exons.